CACGCCCUAAACGAUGUCAACUAGGUGUUGGGUGGGUAAAACCAUUUAGUACCGGAGCUAACGCGUGAAGUUGACCGCCUGGGGAGUACGGCCGCAAGGUUAAAACUCAAAGGAAUUGACGGGGACCCGCACAAGCGGUGGAUGAUGUGGUUUAAUUCGAUGCAACGCGAAAAACCUUACCUACCCUUGACAUGUCAAGAAUUUUGCAGAGAUGUGAAAGUGCUCGAAAGAGAACUUGAACACAGGUGC
RNAcentral lists this ribosomal RNA (249 nucleotides) under uncultured bacterium. RNAcentral's name for it is "partial 16S ribosomal RNA". It matches the Rfam family "Bacterial small subunit ribosomal RNA", at positions 796 to 1041 of the family's 1533-position model. The record is from RNAcentral.